UACAGAGGUGGCAAGCGUUGUUCGGAAUUACUGGGCGUAAAGGGCGCGUAGGCGGCCUUCUUAGUCGGACGUGAAAUCCCCAGGCUCAACUUGGGAACUGCGUCCGAUACUGGAUGGCUUGAGUGCGGGAGAGGGAUGUGGAAUUCCAGGUGUAGCGGUGAAAUGCGUAGAUAUCUGGAGGAACACCGGUGGCGAAGGCGGUUCUCUGGGACGGUACUGACGCUGAGACGCGAAAGCGUGGGGAGCGAACAGG
RNAcentral lists this ribosomal RNA (253 nucleotides) under uncultured bacterium. Its description in RNAcentral is "partial 16S ribosomal RNA". It matches the Rfam family "Bacterial small subunit ribosomal RNA", at positions 524 to 776 of the family's 1533-position model. The record is from RNAcentral.